Molecule: ribosomal RNA, 427 nt
Filed under: uncultured bacterium
Lineage: Bacteria
Description: partial 16S ribosomal RNA
Rfam family: Bacterial small subunit ribosomal RNA
Source: RNAcentral
UGGGGAAUAUUGCACAAUGGGCGCAAGCCUGAUGCAGCCAUGCCGCGUGUAUGAAGAAGGCCUUCGGGUUGUAACGUACUUUCAGCGGGGAGGAAGGUGUUGUGGUUAAUAACCACAGCAAUUGACGUUACCCGCAGAAGAAGCACCGGCUAACUCCGUGCCAGCAGCCGCGGUAAUACGGAGGGUGCAAGCGUUAAUCGGCAUUACUGGGCGUAAAGCGCACGCAGGCGGUCUGUCAAGUCGGAUGUGAAAUCCCCGGGCUCAACCUGGGAACUGCAUCCGAAACUGGCAGGCUUGAGUCUUGUAGAGGGGGGUAGAAUUCCAGGUGUAGCGGUGAAAUGCGUAGAGAUCUGGAGGAAUACCGGUGGCGAAGGCGGCCCCCUGGACAAAGACUGACGCUCAGGUGCGAAAGCGUGGGGAGCAAACA